GAUGAACGCCAGCGGCAGGCCUAAUACAUGCAAGUCGGACGGGAUUGGGGAGCUUGCUCCCCAUGAGAGUGGCGCACGGGUGCGUAACACGUAUGUAACCUCCCCUUGUCAGGGGGAUAGCCUCUCGAAAGAGAGAUUAACACCGCAUAACAUUAUUGGAUGGCAUCAUUUAAUAAUCAAAUAUUUAUAGGACAAGGAUGGGAAUGCGGGUCACUAGCUAGUUGGUGGGGUAACGGCUUACCAAGGCUACAAUGUCAAGGGGAUCUGAGAGGAUGGCCCCGCACACUGGGACGGAGACACGGACCAGACUCCUACGGGAGGCAGCAGUAGGGAAUAUUGGUCAAUGGGCGCAAGCCUGAACCAGCCAUGCCGCGUGCAGGAAGACGGCCCUACGGGUUGUAAACUGCUUUUGCGCCGGAAUAAACCCUUUUACGAGUAAGAGGCUGAAUGUACGGCGAGAAUAAGGAUCGGCUAACUCCGUGCCAGCAGCCGCAGUAA
This 498-nucleotide ribosomal RNA is filed under the name uncultured bacterium. Its description in RNAcentral is "partial 16S ribosomal RNA". It matches the Rfam family "Bacterial small subunit ribosomal RNA", at positions 28 to 523 of the family's 1533-position model. The record is from RNAcentral.